This 21-nucleotide microRNA is filed under the name Canis lupus familiaris (dog). RNAcentral's name for it is "cfa-miR-1838". The record is from miRBase by way of RNAcentral. Lineage: Eukaryota; Metazoa; Chordata; Mammalia; Carnivora; Canidae.
CCACCAGCUGGCGUUCCCUGG